UACGUAGGUGGCAAGCGUUGUUCGGAAUUACUGGGCGUAAAGCGCGCGUAGGCGGCUCUUCAAGUCAGGCGUGAAAGCCCCGGGCUUAACUCGGGAACUGCGCUUGAUACUGUCGAGCUAGAGUGUGGAAGGGGCGAUUGGAAUUCCGUGUGUAGCGGUGAAAUGCGUAGAUAUACGGAGGAACACCAGGGGCGAAGGCGGAUCGCUGGGCCAACACUGACGCUGGAUGCGCGAAAGCUAGGGGAGCAAACGGG
RNAcentral lists this ribosomal RNA (254 nucleotides) under uncultured bacterium. RNAcentral's name for it is "partial 16S ribosomal RNA". It matches the Rfam family "Bacterial small subunit ribosomal RNA", at positions 524 to 776 of the family's 1533-position model. The record is from RNAcentral.